AUGUCAGGUGCAGCGAGAGCGAUUGCUCGGGAUGACAGAGGAGAGUUCAUCACAGCGGCAGCGUGGUUCCUACCACAUGUGACCACUGCUGAAUCUGCGGAAAUACAAGCCAUCAGAAACGGGGCUUGGUUGGCGAAACACAUUGGAUGCAACUCGCUCAUUUUAGAGUCAGACAAUCUAAGUGCUAUACAGGCCUUCAACCAACAGGAAACAUACAAUGGUACUGAUGCAGCAGUGGUGUUGGAAGGCAAGCAGAUAUGCAUCAAUUUUGCAGCAGUAUCAUACAUCCAUUGCUUUAGGGGAGCGAAUGAGGUUGCUGAUCUUUUAGCAAAGCAUUCUACCCAUAGUAGAUCUUCUCAUCUUUGGGAAGAUUCUAUCCCCGACUUUAUUUCUCAUGCUUUUGUAAACGACUUGUCCAUCAUCUGA
RNAcentral lists this ribosomal RNA (426 nucleotides) under Triticum aestivum (bread wheat). RNAcentral's name for it is "partial small subunit ribosomal RNA". The record is from RNAcentral. Lineage: Eukaryota; Viridiplantae; Streptophyta; Magnoliopsida; Poales; Poaceae.